UCAGUACAGAAAUGUGGAUGUGGAGC
This 26-nucleotide non-coding RNA is filed under the name Homo sapiens (human). Lineage: Eukaryota; Metazoa; Chordata; Mammalia; Primates; Hominidae. The record is from RNAcentral.